Molecule: signal recognition particle RNA, 69 nt
Filed under: Pseudoalteromonas sp.
Lineage: Bacteria; Pseudomonadati; Pseudomonadota; Gammaproteobacteria; Alteromonadales; Pseudoalteromonadaceae
Description: partial signal recognition particle sRNA small type
Rfam family: Bacterial small signal recognition particle RNA
About the family: The signal recognition particle (SRP) is a universally conserved ribonucleoprotein involved in the co-translational targeting of proteins to membranes. Archaeal SRP consists of a 7S RNA and homologues of the eukaryotic SRP19 and SRP54 proteins.
Source: RNAcentral
UAUUGGUCCUCUCGCAACACUAGCAGGCGAACCUGGUCAGGCCCGGAAGGGAGCAGCCACAGUUUGUGA